CGCGGUGGCUCAACGGUUAAGGCUCUGGGUUACUGAUCCAGAAAGGUCACGGGUUCAAGCCCCAGCACCGCCA
Ameiurus melas (black bullhead) is the source of this 73-nucleotide non-coding RNA. The record is from the annotation of a GenBank genome assembly. NCBI's taxonomy places the organism in Eukaryota, Metazoa, Chordata, Actinopteri, Siluriformes, Ictaluridae.